GGUGGCUCAGUGGGAGAGUGCUUGCCUUGCAUGCAUGAGGCACUGGGUUCGAUUCCUCAGCACCA
Molecule: transfer RNA, 65 nt
Filed under: Dipodomys ordii (Ord's kangaroo rat)
Lineage: Eukaryota; Metazoa; Chordata; Mammalia; Rodentia; Heteromyidae
Rfam family: tRNA
About the family: Transfer RNA (tRNA) molecules are approximately 80 nucleotides in length. Their secondary structure includes four short double-helical elements and three loops (D, anti-codon, and T loops). Further hydrogen bonds mediate the characteristic L-shaped molecular structure. tRNAs have two regions of fundamental functional importance: the anti-codon, which is responsible for specific mRNA codon recognition, and the 3' end, to which the tRNAs corresponding amino acid is attached (by aminoacyl-tRNA synthetases). tRNAs cope with the degeneracy of the genetic code in two manners: having more than one tRNA (with a specific anti-codon) for a particular amino acid; and 'wobble' base-pairing, i.e. permitting non-standard base-pairing at the 3rd anti-codon position.
Source: Rfam by way of RNAcentral